CUUUGCAUUUGACUACUAUAUUUUCUCCUAAUAAUAGAUUUUAGUGGCUAGGUUUAUGGGAUGGAGCAAAAUAGCCAUGAUCUGAAGAUAGAGGAUUUGUGUCCUCCUCUAAUAUGAAAUGGUUGAACAAAAAUAA
Molecule: small nucleolar RNA, 136 nt
Organism: Sorex araneus (European shrew)
Lineage: Eukaryota; Metazoa; Chordata; Mammalia; Eulipotyphla; Soricidae
Product: small nucleolar RNA SNORA29
Exons: 1
Source: RefSeq, a predicted model, not a curated record